Molecule: ribosomal RNA, 252 nt
Filed under: Meyerozyma guilliermondii
Lineage: Eukaryota; Fungi; Ascomycota; Pichiomycetes; Serinales; Debaryomycetaceae
Description: partial 28S ribosomal RNA
Rfam family: Eukaryotic large subunit ribosomal RNA
Source: RNAcentral
UUGACCUCAAAUCAGGUAGGAAUACCCGCUGAACUUAAGCAUAUCAAUAAGCGGAGGAAAAGAAACCAACAGGGAUUGCCUUAGUAGCGGCGAGUGAAGCGGCAAAAGCUCAAAUUUGAAAUCUGGCACCUUCGGUGUCCGAGUUGUAAUUUGAAGAUUGUAACCUUGGGGUUGGCUCUUGUCUAUGUUUCUUGGAACAGGACGUCACAGAGGGUGAGAAUCCCGUGCGAUGAGAUGCCCAAUCCUAUGUAA